This 539-nucleotide long non-coding RNA is filed under the name Monodelphis domestica (gray short-tailed opossum). Its description in RNAcentral is "lncRNA (ENSMODG00000036632.1)". The record is from RNAcentral. Lineage: Eukaryota; Metazoa; Chordata; Mammalia; Didelphimorphia; Didelphidae.
AGCAAGGCUGUCCUUGGCUGUGAGCCCCUUGUUGGAGAAGAUCGGGUAGACGCUGAGAAAGGAGCCUGGCUGGCUCAGGCAGGCAGCCAGGCACUGGAAGGUGAGGGAGAGAAGACUUCUGGAACCCACAAAAAGAGGCAGCCAGCAGCAGCUCAGCUCUUCAGGAGUCAUGGCUAGAACCUCCGUCCUGGUGCUGUUGUUUCUCAGUCAACUUGUAGCUACCUCCUUAGCUCAGAAAGUGGGACCCCGGGGCCCCGCUGGACCUCAAGGACCUCCUGGACCUCCUGGAAAAGACGGCAUCGAUGGUGAAGAUGGUCCUCCAGGUCUUCCUGGCCCCCCGGGUCCCAAAGGAUCUCCAGGGAAGCCAGGGAAACCUGGAGAAGCUGGGCUGCCUGGGCUGCCAGGUGUAGAUGGUCUGACGGGUCAGGAUGGGCCCCCUGGUCCCAAAGGCUCACCUGGAGAAAGGGGUAGCCUUGGACCUCCAGGUCCUCCUGGGUUGGGGGUAAGUACUCCUUUCUUAUCUGUAGGACUUGGGGAGA